ACGAACGCUGGCGGCAUGCCUAACACAUGCAAGUCGAACGAGACCUUCGGGUCUAGUGGCGCACGGGUGCGUAACGCGUGGGAAUCUGCCCUUGGGUUCGGGAUAACAGUUGGAAACGACUGCUAAUACCGGAUGAUGACUUCGGUCCAAAGAUUUAUCGCCCAGGGAUGAGCCCGCGUAGGAUUAGCUAGUUGGUGAGGUAAAGGCUCACCAAGGCGACGAUCCUUAGCUGGUCUGAGAGGAUGAUCAGCCACACUGGGACUGAGACACGGCCCAGACUCCUACGGGAGGCAGCAGUGGGGAAUAUUGGACAAUGGGCGAAAGCCUGAUCCAGCAAUGCCGCGUGAGUGAUGAAGGCCUUAGGGUUGUAAAGCUCUUUUACCCGGGAAGAUAAUGACUGUACCGGGAGAAUAAGCCCCGGCCAACUCCGUGCCAGCAGCCGCGGUAAUACGGAGGGGGCUAGCGUUGUUCGGAAUUACUGGGCGUAAAGCGCACGUAGGCGGCUUUGUAAGUUAGAGGUGAAAGCCCGGAGCUCAACUCCGGAAUUGCCUUUAAGACUGCAUCGCUAGAACGUCGGAGAGGUGAGUGGAAUUCCGAGUGUANAGGUGAAAUUCNUANAUAUUCGGAAGAACACCA
This 636-nucleotide ribosomal RNA is filed under the name uncultured bacterium. RNAcentral's name for it is "bacterial SSU rRNA". It matches the Rfam family "Bacterial small subunit ribosomal RNA", at positions 29 to 711 of the family's 1533-position model. The record is from RNAcentral.